RNAcentral lists this ribosomal RNA (465 nucleotides) under Vreelandella stevensii. RNAcentral's name for it is "partial 16S ribosomal RNA". It matches the Rfam family "Bacterial small subunit ribosomal RNA", at positions 338 to 795 of the family's 1533-position model. Lineage: Bacteria; Pseudomonadati; Pseudomonadota; Gammaproteobacteria; Oceanospirillales; Halomonadaceae. The record is from RNAcentral.
CCUACGGGGGGCAGCAGUGGGGAAUAUUGGACAAUGGGCGAAAGCCUGAUCCAGCCAUGCCGCGUGUGUGAAGAAGGCCUUCGGGUUGUAAAGCACUUUCAGUGGGGAAGAAAGCCUUGGGGCUAAUACCCUCGAGGAAGGACAUCACCCACAGAAGAAGCACCGGCUAACUCCGUGCCAGCAGCCGCGGUAAUACGGAGGGUGCGAGCGUUAAUCGGAAUUACUGGGCGUAAAGCGCGCGUAGGCGGUCUGAUAAGCCGGUUGUGAAAGCCCCGGGCUCAACCUGGGAACGGCAUCCGGAACUGUCAGGCUAGAGUGCAGGAGAGGAAGGUGGAAUUCCCGGUGUAGCGGUGAAAUGCGUAGAGAUCGGGAGGAAUACCAGUGGCGAAGGCGGCCUUCUGGACUGACACUGACGCUGAGGUGCGAAAGCGUGGGUAGCAAACAGGAUUAGAUACCCGAGUAGUC